AGCCGCGGUAAUACGGAGGAUGCAAGCGUUAUCCGGAUUUAUUGGGUUUAAAGGGUACGUAGGCGGAAGAUUAAGUCAGUGGUGAAAUCCUGCAGCUUAACUGUAGAACUGUCAUUGAUACUGGUUUUCUUGAAUGUAGUUGAGGUAGGCGGAAUGUGUAAUGUAGCGGUGAAAUGCUUAGAUAUUACACAGAACACCGAUUGCGAAGGCAGCUUACUAAACUGCGAUUGACGCUGAGGUACGAAAGCGUGGGGAGCGAACAGGAUUAGAUACCCUGGUAGUCCACGCUGUAAACGAUGAUCACUCGUUGUUGGCAAUACACCGUCAGCGACUGAGCGAAAGCAUUAAGUGAUCCACCUGGGGAGUACGACCGCAAGGUUGAAACUCAAAGGAAUUGACGGGGGCCCGCACAAGCGGAGGAACAUGUGGUUUAAUUCGAUGAUACGCGAGGAACCUUACCUGGGCUUAAAUGUAGAACGACGGAUCGGGAAACUGAUCUUUCUUCGGACGGUCUGCAAGGUGCUGCAUGGCUGUCGUCAGCUCGUGCCGUGAGGUGUCGGGUUAAGUCCCAUAACGAGCGCAACCCUCAUCAUUAGUUGCCAGCGGGUAAUGCCGGGGACUCUAAUGAAACUGCCGGUGUAAACCGAGAGGAAGGUGGGGAUGACGUCAAGUCAGCACGGCCCUUAUGUCCAGGGCUACACACGUGUUACAAUGGUCGGUACAAAGGGCAGCUACCUGGUAACAGGAUGCUAAUCUCGAAAACCGGUCUCAGUUCUGAUCGGAGUCUGCAACUCGACUUCGUGAA
Molecule: ribosomal RNA, 805 nt
Filed under: uncultured organism
Description: bacterial SSU rRNA
Rfam family: Bacterial small subunit ribosomal RNA
Source: RNAcentral